CCGCCCGUGGCGAAGCUGGAUAUCGCAGCAGAUUCCGAUUCUGAGGCCGGGGGUUCGAAUCCCUCCGGGCGGACCA
RNAcentral lists this transfer RNA (76 nucleotides) under [Clostridium] leptum. RNAcentral's name for it is "tRNA-Arg". It matches the Rfam family "tRNA". From Rfam's summary of the family: Transfer RNA (tRNA) molecules are approximately 80 nucleotides in length. The record is from RNAcentral. Lineage: Bacteria; Bacillati; Bacillota; Clostridia; Eubacteriales; Oscillospiraceae.